AGGCUUCUCAAGGAGGAAUUAUUGGGAUUACUGUUUUUACGGCAUGGGCAGUUCCUAAAUAUGAUGAUGUUUCUAGCAGGAAAGCUGCCUCCAGAGCUCUUGAUUUCUUGAUCGGAUGGAUUGUGCAUCCAAUCACUUAUGGUGACUACCCAGUAACCAUGCGAUAUUUGGUGGGUAAUAGACUUCCUGAAUUUACAGAAAAACAAGCAAAAAUGGUGAUAGGGUCUUUUGAUUUCAUUGGAAUAAAUUACUAUACAGCAUCAUAUGCAGAAGAUGUUGCAUCUUAUAGCAGUAUCAAUCUGAGUUAUACAACGGAUAGCCGAGUUAAUAGAACAACUGAGAAGAAUGGGAUUCCUAUUGGCGAGCCGACUGAUUGCAGCUGGCUAUACAUAUACCCAAAAGGAAUUUAUAAACUUCUGCUGUAUCUAAAGAGAAAAUACAAUCAUCCUGCCAUUUACAUCACAGAGAACGGAAUGGGAGACAGUAGCUCAUUGUCACUUGCUAAUGCUCUAGAAGAUAAGUUAAGGAUAAAAUAUCACCAUCUUCAUCUACUAUCUAUCUUAAAAGCUGUUAAGGAAGGUGUUGAUGUGAGAGGAUACUAUA
RNAcentral lists this unclassified non-coding RNA (603 nucleotides) under Hevea brasiliensis (rubber tree). The record is from RNAcentral. Lineage: Eukaryota; Viridiplantae; Streptophyta; Magnoliopsida; Malpighiales; Euphorbiaceae.